ACUCCUACGGGAGGCAGCAGUGGGGAAUAUUGGACAAUGGGCGAAAGCCUGAUCCAGCCAUGCCGCGUGUGUGAAGAAGGUCUUCGGAUUGUAAAGCACUUUAAGUUGGGAGGAAGGGCAGUAAAUUAAUACUUUGCUGUUUGACGUACCGACAGAAUAG
Molecule: ribosomal RNA, 160 nt
Filed under: uncultured bacterium
Lineage: Bacteria
Description: partial 16S ribosomal RNA
Rfam family: Bacterial small subunit ribosomal RNA
Source: RNAcentral